UACGGAGGAUGCGAGCGUUAUCCGGAUUUAUUGGGUUUAAAGGGUGCGUAGGCGGACGCUUAAGUCAGCGGUAAAAUUGCGGGGCUCAACCUCGUCGAGCCGUUGAAACUGGGUGUCUUGAGUGGGCAAGAAGUACGCGGAAUGCGUGGUGUAGCGGUGAAAUGCAUAGAUAUCACGCAGAACUCCGAUUGCGAAGGCAGCGUACCGGCGCCCAACUGACGCUGAAGCACGAAGGCGUGGGUAUCGAACAGG
This 252-nucleotide ribosomal RNA is filed under the name uncultured bacterium. RNAcentral's name for it is "partial 16S ribosomal RNA". It matches the Rfam family "Bacterial small subunit ribosomal RNA", at positions 524 to 776 of the family's 1533-position model. The record is from RNAcentral.